GCUCUCUUAGCCCUUUCCAUCCGUAACGCAGACGUCGACGUCACAGUAUGGAAAGGGUCAAGAGGAAAUGGAAGAGGAUUAAUCCUCUUCUAAACCUCUCAAUCCUCCUCUAAAUUCCUCUUAAUCCUCUUCCAUUUCCUCUUAAGAGGUUUAGAAGAGGAUUAAGAGGAAAUGGAAGAGGAUUAAGAGGUUUAGAAGAGGACUGACGGUGACGCUGGCAUCGCCGGAGUGAAGGGGUUAACUGACUCUUGGUCAGCCUCUCUUUGCCGUUUUGGUGAAACUUUCUCAGUUGUGCUAGACAUAUCGAAAGCUUUCGAUAGAGUCUCGCAUAAGUCUUUGCUUUCUAAACUGCCCUCUUUAGGAUUCUAUCCCUCUUUCUGUUCCUUCAUCUCCAGUUUCCUUUCCAGCCAUUUUAUCUCUGCUGUGGUAGACAGUCACUGUUCGUCUCCUAAACCUAUCAACAGUGGUGUUCCACAGGGCUCUGUCCUAUUGCCCACUCUCUUCCUGUUAUUCAUCAAUGAUCUUCUUUCCAUAACAAACUGUCCUAUCCACUCAUACGCUGAUGACUCCACUCUGCAUUAUUCAACUUCUUUCAACAGAAGACCCUCAACAGGAAUUACAAGACUCCAGACUGGAGGCUGCAAAACGCUUAACCUCAGACCUUGCUAUCAUUUCCGAUUGGGGUAAAAGGAACCUUGUGUCCUUCAAUGCCUCAAAAACCCAUUUUCUCCACCUAUCAACUCGAUACAAUCUUCCAAACACCUAUCCCCUAUUCUUCAAUAACUUUUUGCUGUCACCUUCUUCAACACUAAAUAUCCUCGGUCUAUCGUUAGCUCAAAAUCUCAACUGGAGACUUCACAUCUCCUCUCUCACUAAAUCAGCUUCCUCGAGGUUGAGCGUUCUUUAUCUUCUCCGCCAGUUCUUCUCCCCCACACAAAUGCUUUCCAUUUAUAGGGGCCUUGUCCGCCCUCGUAUGGAGUAUGCGUCUCACGUGUGUCGGGGCUCCACUCACACAGCUCUCCUGGAUAGAGUGGAGUGUAACACCGGGAUUAUCAGUCAAUCUCUUCCCCCUUCCAGUGAGGAAAGCAGGCUUCGUGCACCAAACGGUACUAUCAGUGACAACCGCGCGAAGUGUAGUACCAACAGUACAUGGAAAGAUAGCUUCUGAGGGGGAAGAUAAGUGGGCGCUUGCUAAUAGUACCUCCAAAUGGAAACACACACCCUAAGAGACGCUUUGACGAAGAGGGAAGAGGUUUGCUGAUAAUCCCGCCAUCAGGUUAGAAUUAAAUUCAAGAAUCUGCGGACAUACUUCAUUGGUGCAUACAACAAAUUCAAAAAGGCCCGCAGUGAAUCCAAGAAAUGUCCCGGGAAUAAGUGGCCACUGUUUGACAAUGCUUUAUUCCUGAUAGAUACACGGGUUGAACAAAAACCAACAAAAACCAGCCUUAAAUCAUCUCCCACACCAACGAGUGCAGUGCUAAGCAUAGGAGAUGAUGGCCGUAUCAUAGAACAUUCAACGGAUUCUGGCAAGAUCAGUUCUAAUGGAACCUUCGAUGUGUUAUAUACUGAGCUUGGCUGCCCUCCUUCUCCAGUGCCCAGCAAUCAUUCCUUUGAGCCUAGCAGUCCUUCACCCUCAGUGUCCAGCAGUGCCCCAUCAGAAGAAAUCAUACAGAAGAGAAACACAUUAGAGAAAACUCAACACAGAGUAAAAGCAAAGAAAGAAAAAAAGCCUGAUGAUGAUGCUUUGAAUACCUUUGACAGACACUUAGCAAAGAAAAUAAAAGUAGAUAAGUUUGCUAGAGCUAUAGGGCACGUGGCAGAAAGUGCAGCUGAAAAGAUGCCUUAUCAUACUCAACUUCAGUUUAUGGAGAAAAUGAUUGGAGUUAUUAAAGAUAUAGAUUGUUCUAAUACUGCAGCAAAUCAUCAAAUUCAAGAAAGAUAAUUCUAAGAAAGUAAAUGGUGGAAAUAUAUAUGUUUUAUAUCAACA
RNA transcript from Eriocheir sinensis (Chinese mitten crab), 1987 nucleotides. RefSeq lists it as uncharacterized. Lineage: Eukaryota; Metazoa; Arthropoda; Malacostraca; Decapoda; Varunidae. The transcript has 4 exons. The record is from RefSeq and is a predicted model, not a curated record.